UGAAGCGGCAACAGCUCAAAUUUGAAAUCUGGCGCAAGCCCGAGUUGUAAUUUGCAGAGGAUGCUUUUGGUGCGGUGCCUUCUGAGUUCCCUGGAACGGGACGCCGGAGAGGGUGAGAGCCCCGUACAGUUGGACACCAAGCCUUUGUAAAGCUCCUUCGACGAGUCGAGUAGUUUGGGAAUGCUGCUCAAAAUGGGAGGUAAAUGCCUUCUAAAGCUAAAUACCGGCCAGAGACCGAUAGCGCACAAGUAGAGUGAUCGAAAGAUGAAAAGCACUUUGAAAAGAGGGUUAAAAAGUACGUGAAAUUGUUGAAAGGGAAGCGCUCGUGACCAGACUUGCGCCCGGCGGAUCAUCCGGCCUUCUGGCCGGUGCACUUCGCCGGGCUCAGGCCAGCAUCGGUUCUUCUGGGGGGACAAAAGCGGCGGGAACGUAGCUCCUCCGGGAGUGUUAUAGCCCGCCGCAGAAUACCCCCGGGGGGACCGAGGACCGCGCUUCGGCAAGGAUGCUGGCGUAAUGGUCACCAGCGACCCGUCUUGAAACACGGACCAAGGAGUCAAGCAUUAGGGCGAGUGUUUGGGUGUCAAACCCGCACGCGAAAUGAAAGUGAACGCAGGUGAGAGCUUCGGCGCAUCAUCGACCGAUCCUGAUGUUUUCGGAUGGAUUUGAGUAAGAGCCUUACCGCUUGGACCCGAAAGAUGGUGAACUAUGCUUGGAUAGGGUGAAGCCAGAGGAAACUCUGGUGGAGGCUCGCAGCGGUUCUGACGUGCAAAUCGAUCGUCU
Molecule: ribosomal RNA, 780 nt
Filed under: Myrmecridium phragmitigenum
Lineage: Eukaryota; Fungi; Ascomycota; Sordariomycetes; Myrmecridiales; Myrmecridiaceae
Description: partial large subunit ribosomal RNA
Rfam family: Eukaryotic large subunit ribosomal RNA
Source: RNAcentral